Long non-coding RNA from Pseudopipra pipra, 13390 nucleotides. RefSeq lists it as uncharacterized. Lineage: Eukaryota; Metazoa; Chordata; Aves; Passeriformes; Pipridae. The record is from RefSeq and is a predicted model, not a curated record. The transcript has 2 exons.
AGGGGAGAAGACCCGCGGCGACAUGUGUGUUUCGCGUUCCUUCCGAGGGGUCUUCGCCAUCUCCGAGAGGAGAAGGUCGGAAUCUCGGACCCGGCCCCUGUACGUGUCUCCCCCCUCCCCGGCGCCGCGUUGGUGCAGCGCGGUGCGGUCACCGCAUUCCAGGGGCGGGGGGCGGAGGGAGCGCGCUCCUGCCCUUGUAAGGCAACGGCGGGAGUUUCCUGCGCGUAGAGGGGCGGAGCCGUAUCUCAUCGCCCCUCCCCUUCCCCACCCCCGAGGGGUGGCCGUCGCCUCCGUUCCCGUCGGUUUCUGUCCCGUCCUGUCAUCUGCUGGCGCCGCUUCGGGAUCCAUCGUGGGCUGCGCGUCCCUCCCGCCUUCCAGCGCCGCGGAACUGCCGCUCGCCGGCCUCCUGCACCGCCUUCUCGAGGACCAUUGUGCAAUUAGGGCUGGCGCUGUCUGAGCUUCCGCUUUCUGACAGGAGCAAGUCUCGUUCCCAGCACUUGUGACUGUUCGUGGCAGCGCGGUGGCGGGAGGGAGCCAGUGACACGGAAUCACAGAGCCACAGAAUGGGACAGGUUGGAAGGGACCACAGUGGGUCAUCUGAUCUAACCUGGUCCAUCUUAGAGGACAUGCCACAGUAUUGCAUCCAGUCAGUUUUUGGAGCCUCUCGAGUGAGGGAGACUCCACAUCCUCCUUGGGCAAUGUGUUCCGGUGCACGGUCACCUACACAGUAAGGUUCUGCCUCAUAUUCAGGUGGAACUUCCUGUGCAUCAGUUUCUGCCUGUUACCUCUUGUCCUAUUACUUGGCACCACCUGAACCCACCCUCUCGACACCUACCUUCAGAUACUGACAUACAAUGUGCCCUCUCAGUUGUCCCUUCUCGAGGUUGAACAGGUCCAGUUCCCUCAGCCUUUCCUCGUAAGAGAUGAUGCUCCAAUCCCUUGAUCAUCUUUGUAGCUCUAAACAGCCCCAACACAUGUAAAAGUACAUGGUACGGCACUGUCCUGCAGGAUGAGGAGGUGCUGUGUUGCAACAGCUGAUGGAGCUGGUACAUCUGGAAGAUUCACAGGAUCAUGGAAUAUCCUGAGUUGUAAGGGAUCCACAGGGAUCAAGGAAGCAAAACUCCUGGCCCUACACAGGACAACCCCAAGAAUCACGCCAUGUGCCUGAGAGCAUUGUCUAAACGCUUCCUGAACUAUGGCAGGCUUGGUACUGUGACCUGGGGAGCCUGUUCCAGUGUCCAGCUACCCUCUGGAUGAAGAACCUUUUCCUAAUAUCUAAUAUUGUUUUUAACAAGUGAAUUACUUAACUGCCCUGGGUUCAGAGACAAUAAGUAAGAGGAGAGACUUAGAUUAGAUCUUAGGAAAAAAUUUUUUACUAUGAGGGUAGUGAGGCACUGGAACAUGUUGCCCAGAGAAGUUGUGAAUACCCCAUCCCUGGUAGUGUUUAAGGCCAGGUUGGAUGGGGCUUUGAGUCACCUGGUCUAGUGGAAGGUGCCCCUGCCCGUGGCAGAGGGGUUGGAACUAGGUGAUCUUGAAGCUCCCUUUCAAUCCAAACCAUUCUAUGACUCUGAUCUGGCCUGGCUUCCAAAGACAAAGGCCUUGUACCAAUUUGCUAUUAGCAUGUUACCCUAUCUUCAGAUAAUUUUUACCUGCCUUGCCAAUACCAGCAGGGUAAUCAGGCAUCCAGGGGUCAUGAGUAUAUUCAGUUUUCAUAAUAAUCAAAUUCUUUGGGUUGGAAGGUACAUUUAAAGAUCAUCCAGUCCAGCUUCUAAGAAGACCAAGAUUACUCGCUUUAGGAAUUAGGAAAAUUUAGGAAAAUUCCUGAAAGGAUUUUCCUUUUCUUAAAACAAAGAUGAGGACGGUGGGCAGAUGAAUAGGAAUAUGGGAUGAAUAGGAACAUCAUCCUAAAAACACUGACCACAGCUCAAAGAUAUAAAGAACAUUAUGUAAAAAUAGACAUCACUGCUGUCUAUGUAGCCUAAUUUAUCACUUUACAUCUAGUUCUAUUCAUAUAAUUUUUACAGAAUUUGCAACUGUACAUAAACUCAGUUUUUGAAAACAGUAAGAGAUUACCCAUAUUUCUGACUUUUUUGAGGGAAAUAAACUUAACUGAGUGACCAGAAGGUGUAAUCCCUGAUGGACUCCCCUGGCUGGGGCAAAGAACACAGCUCAGAGGGAACAUCUCCUCUACUCAACACCUACAGAGUCAAAAAAACCAAUUGCAGUUUUCACCGUCGCUGGUGCUGCCAGUGGUAUUUUUUACUUAUAGGGAAGUGUGGUGGUUUCUGUCACAUCUUCUGCCUUUCUUUGAGGCACUGGCAGGAUGCUGCAGGCUGCCCACUUGAGCUAGGUCUGUUGUGUCAUAACAGGCAGCACCUGAUGCCAAACGCAUGAGUUUCUGUUGCAGAGUGGCUACAACAUCAAAGCUGAGACAACCUUUGUAAGUGGUCAAUAAAACUAUGUGAUCCCAGGUCAGGGGUAGAAGUUGGAAUAUUUAUUGAACACGUGACACGCAAUAUAUGGGUCUUGGAGGCAGGACAUGUUAAUGAAGAGGACGGGUUAUACUAACUAAGGGAUGAAUUAUGCUAACUAGAGGAUUACACAAUUCUCUGCUACAGUUACACAAGUGGUUAAUAUUUUCCCGUAGCGAGGACCACAUGGGGGGAAGAGAACAAAGGGCCUUCUACAUCGUCUGACAUCAUCAUCACAAAGUCUCUCCAUAUCUUGCUGAAAGAGACAGGACAAUCAAACAUAGUUCAUAUUAACAGGUCUUGUGAUGAAGCUCCUCAAAGUAAGGAGUUUCUCCCAGCUCCUGCUCUCUACAGCCUGCUACAUAAUUUUAUUAGUUCCUUUUCUGCUGAUAGUUGAGUUUUAGAUUCCAACAAACCUUUCCUCUCAUGAUCUGGAAAUGAGUCAUUCCUCAUGCCUGUUCUGAAUCACUUUUUUCAGUCUUUGUUUCUUAUGUUUCUAGAGCCAAGUACUUCCAAGACUGGAGUCAGUGGCAAAAUUGAUGUGUACUUUAUCCAAGUUAGCCUUGAUAAGAGCAGAAUGGGAAUAUUUACCUAUAUUAAAUGUAUUUUUAUCCAACAAUUAAAUAAAUAGUACGAUGACAACGAUUUCCAAAUAUUUUCCUUCAAAAAUUGAUACAAUACUAGCUCAAUGUUCAUUUUUAUGAUCUAUACUAAAAUAAUUUUUUAGCUUAUCCCAAAUUGGAGUAAUGAAAAUAAGAAGCAAAGGCUAAGAUAUCAGUAAGGAAUGUGUAGGAAGACCUGUCAGAAUAAAUCUUCGUACAUGGGAUCUGUGUCUGAAGAGUCCUGGAUAUAAGUAGCUGCCAGGUUUAAUAUUUAACAUAAUGAGUAAUACUUAAUAUAGUGACUAAUCACAGAGGACUUUGGCCUAUACUCUAAAUUACCAUAGUUGACCUUUUGCAUUUUUUUUUUCCUGAAUAAUUCCUUAUUGGGAAAAGGUAAACAACCUUUUAUUUUGAGAAGUAGGGAGAAACCGAGAGACUCAGUAGAUUUCAGGCAUCUUUAAGAAAUGCAGCAGUAAUAUUGAUUCACGAAGAGCAAUCCUGUUUCCAGAAAAAGAUAAUUAACCAGUUAUAAAAAAACCACGAGUUGUUUGUAACAUUUUUCUUCACUAGCUCUCAUUGAACUUCCUUCUGCAGUAUGAAAGUGCCAUGAGUUCACUUCACCUGAAGCGCAGGUGAGCUAGACAACCAUAAAUGCUAAAGAUGCGGUUUGGGAAUGGAGAAGGAUUUUCAGAAAGGUUAAGUAGUUUUGGAGUCUACCAUCGAUGGGAUCUGGAAGCUUGCACACUUCUAAAACCCCUAUGAGCUUCCAAUAUUUGGACACGUGUGUAACUUUAGAAUCUACCUUGGAGUGACUUACCUGCAACUUCCUCAGAGGCCAGAGGUGCCUAAAGGAGGAAGUUUUCCAAGGCCGCUUUUAAACUCAGUCUUGACUGUACCUAGACUUAGGCUAGUCCUUCUGGGUUGGUGACUCCUUUGUAUGCAUGGAUAGUCUCAUGGCAGUAAAUACAGUAUUAAUGGAGCAACCAGGCUCCUCUUUUGCCUCGCAGGCAGUCUGCCUGGCAACUCCUCUGUGGUGGCUUGUUUGGGGAAGGGUCUACCUUUCUGGGCUCACCUGGUCUCUGGUAUUAUUGUGUUUUGCAUCUUCCAUGUCUUUUCAUGCUCCAUCAUUAUAAGGCUUUCCACUGCUGCUUUCCAAACACUGUUUGGGAGCUUCUUCUCACACUCAAUACCUUACUGUGAAUGUAGAUCAGUAUUUCCCACAUACAUAGAAUAAAAGUUCCCUCCAUGGAAAUGAUAAUAUUGCAAUGCAGGCUGGUAAUGGCAGCCUAAAGUGAAUUAUAUCUAUCUACCAAGAAGAAUAUGCACCCACCAAAAUCCUGGCCAUAUGGAAGUAAAGGGCCACACCUCUUCAUCAGUGUGUCUUCUGUGAGGAUGCCUUUUACUGGGAGAAGGAUACCUCGAUGAACUUCAUACUUUAAUGAAGUUCAUGUGUCAUACAAAUCCCCAAACAACUCAAUGGGACCUGGGGCAUUAAAAGAAACAAAAGCAGAGCACUAUCCUCGAAUAAUUUAUUUGCCUACUCUAACCAUAAGUCAAAUUUAGCAAUUUGUCUAAUGCUUUUCAAAUUAUUUUUUUCUGGACCAAAAUGAUUACCGAAGUAGUUAAAUAAUAACAAUAACAAAGUAUAGCAAUACCAACAACAAUAUGUAAUAAUGAUAACAAAGUAUAACAAAACAACAACAAUAAUAUAAUACUAAAACAACAAUAAUAAUAAUAACUUAAUACAUUUGCAAAAAGGUUGGACAUAUUUUAUGGAAUUCAAUUAUGUAAACAAUAGUUUAUUAAAUAAAAUAAACCAAGGAAGCCAGACUAUAGUUACAUUCUGGGAAUCACCACUACUGAGUCAGGAAAGAAGGAAUAUGCUUUGACUAGUUACCAGCUCCAGCAAGCAACACGACUUCCACACUACAGUGAAUAAUAUGAGUUUACUUAAACAGUGCAACUCCAGCUGAUUCUAGCAUGUAGAAGGUGGGUGCCACACCAUGGGCCUGAUGGUGCAGUUCAUAGGGCAUUCCUAGGGUGGGAAUAUGUCCCUGCACCUCAAUGACCUGUGAAGAUGUGCUUGUAGAGAAGCCAGAGGUUCUGUUGCUUGCUCACAGUGUGCAAGCCAAGCUGCUUUAGCCUUAUUGUCCCUUUGCUUCCUCCACAGCUUGGAUGUCCCACUCUCAGUUGAAGUAAAGAAACAUUUUGAAAAUACAAAUUGUCAUCAAUACCCUUGAGAACAAGGCAAACAACAGUGUUGUCUAAGACAAGCACUCUUUCUCCUGCACCAAGAAGCCAUAAGUGAUAGCAGGUGAAAAAGAGAGAAACAACCAAACUGUCUGAUGUGUUAAAAGAGAGCACUUUGAUGGGCUGUCCAUACUGAACAACUGUGUCUGUGUACCUAGUUAGCCCUCUGGUAUUGCCGAAGAGCAGAUAACCAUAAAACGUUUAAAAAUACAGUUAUCUUAUGGUAUGCUGGAUGAUAUCAGGUAAUAUAUUUAUCUUUUUUGCUCUUUCCAGAGACUUCUAUCUGCAAUUUAUCACAUAGGCUAUGUCACUUUUUCUAGUUGUGGUCAGUACCACAGGAAUGUUUUUAUUUUGAGCAAUGACUUUUUUCUUUUUAAUCAUACAAAUGAAGGUCUUUCAUUUUGUACUGUUACAUUGUAUCUGAAGUAGAUUUGUCCUUCUAUUUUGUGACAAACCCUGGUUCCAAUGUUGAAUGCAACAAGUCAAGCCAUGCACUGGGCUUUGCAAGUACUGGAAGUAAAAGGAAUAGCAGCCCAUAAAGUCAUAGCAUCAUUUAGGUUGGAAAAGACCUCUAAGAUUGAGUCUAGCCAUUAAUCCAGCACUGCCAAGUCCACAACUAAACCACAUCCCUAACCACUCUUUGCCCUUUCUGUUCUGUGAGUGGGUUGUGCAAUAAUUAGGGGUGCACGAACUCAGCGCAGAUGCUCUGUGAGCAGGUCAGGUUGGGGAGCAGCCUGUCUGCUGUGUGGACUCCCAGGCCUCUCUGGCUGGCAGGGUAUUUCUUUCCCUGAUUGCUGUGGAUGCUGACUGUACUAUCUUUAAGAUGAAACAGCUGGGAUUGUGCCUUGCUCCAGGACGAAGAUGCCUACUGCUUCCUUUCUGUGCGGUACUCGCAAACCCUGGGGCAGGGAGGCUGCAUACUCGGGGCCGCACGGCGGGCUGAGGGUCCAUCCCCCCGGCAGCUCUCUCCUCACCCUGGCGCCAGAAACCCUCACCGGAGCCUCGCAGCUCGCAGCCUCGCAGGUUGAUUUUACUCCCCUAGAUUUCGGAAUUCCCAGUUUGACCUGGACGCGCUUGUGUCGCUUCAAGGCACUCGGGGCCGGUAGCCGGUCCCGUACCGGCUGUCGCCAGCAAGGGGAGCUCCGUAUUUGGAUAGGAUCCGAAAGACAGGCCAGGGACGGUACUGCCAUGGCCAGGAGAGGGAGAAUGCUGUAAAAUGACAUUAAAUCGAUGUGGGGGUUAAUCCUGCUGUGGGCUGGAGAAGGAAGGGGAAAGACCAAACAAGCGCCGUGGGCUCCAGGGUGAUAUUUGUGGCACUCCUGAACUCUGCAAAUCAUAUAAGAGAAUUAUUGAGUUAUAGAAUGAUUUGGGUUGGAAGGUACCUUUAAAGUUAGUCAUCUAGUUCCAACCUUCCUGCCACAGGAAGGGGCACCUCCCACUAGACCAGGUUGCUCCAAGCCUUGUCUAGCCUGGCCUUAAACACUUCCAGGGAUGGAGCAUCCACAAUUUCUCUGGGCAAACUGCUCCAGUGCCUCACCACCCUCACAAGAAAGAAUUUCUUCCUAAUAUCUAGCGUCUUCCUACUAUCUACCCGCUUUCAGUUUGAAGCUAUUCCCCCUUGUCCUGUCACUACAUACCCUGGUAAAAAUUUCCUCUCCAGCUCUCCCCUUUAGGUACUGCUAUAGAUCUCCUCAGUGCCUUGUCUUCUCUAGGCUGAACGCCCCCAACUCUCUCAGCCUGUCUUCACUGGAGGAGUGCUCCUGCCCUCUGAUUAUUUUCUCAAGUCCUCUGAACCUGUUCCAACAUGUCCAUGUCUCUCCUGUGCUGAGGACCCUACAGCAGAGCCUGGAGCAAGCAUGUGCCUGCCUGUAGUGAGGGAAAUUGCUGGACAUUUUACAAAGUGAAUGUCUACCUUGCUAUAGUAGCCCCUCUUUGCUCUUCUUCACUGCUGUUAAUCUCUCUUCGCCAAUCACCAGAAACUUAAGAGAAGUGUCUUCAAGCACUGAUUGCUCCAGAAGCUUUCCUGUGAGUUGUGUGUAUCACAGCUGUUAAAGCUUUAUGAAACUUGACAUCAAAGUUUCCCCUAUGAUGAAACCCUGAGCAGUCUCUCUGGUUUUGGUACAGACUGGGAGUCAGUGUGAUCAUUUUACAUAAAGCUCAAAUAUUUUUUUCUGGGAUGGAAAACAUUUUGGUUUACGGUAUUGCAGUCACAGUUAAAGAUGUAAUAACAGGUACAGCAUCAUAGCAAUCAACAAUACCCAUAGUAAAUAUGUUUUCAGUUUGUAUAAAAAAAUUAGUCUCCUUGUUUUCAGCACAGGUACCUGUGUGAGUGUGACGAGCCAGAGCUGACCUACCACUCGACUGAGGUUUGAAAACCUUCCUCUGAGUCUGGGUUGAAUUUAGAACAGGAAGCCAAUGAACAAGGCCAGAUGCUGCUCACUUGAGCUUUUCCAGUGGGCAGACUUCUUCUCCUCUUCAUUAGCAACCCAGCAGAAAGAAAAAAAAAUAAUUGCUCCACCAGGAAUUUCUGGAAGUGAUCAGCAGCUGCUGUUGACCCUCUAGCAGUCAUUACGCAGCUGCACUUGGUCGUGAGUCCCUGCUGGCAUUAGCAGAGGGAAGGGACAUAUUGCCUCUCUAUUUAGUCUGCCAGCUAGUGUAACAGUCCCUAGAGAGCUGGAACGAAAGAGUGAGAAUUUACACAGAUGCAGGUGAGUAAGCAGAAAAUCAGCCCUGCUUCAGGAAGCUACUAACAACUUUUUCAGGAUUGUUCUCAGACGUGCUUACAGCUGUGGGCUGAGGAUUCAGCUGUCUGCCCAUCAGGGCUGUCGGAGCAACACACACCCUUUCACUCUGAAACUCAAAAUGCAGGACUUUUUCAUGGAUGGGAAAUGUAAAGUACUGUGGCACACUCAAUAAGAAAGCAUUUUUUUAAAUGCAGGCAAAAUGAGAGAAAUCUGAUAUCAGCUGUAAAAAUGUCCACUGUGUAUUUUAUUCUAAUGACACUUUCAGACCUCCAGAAGUAAUGACAAAUACAUGUAUUAAAAAUGUCAAGGUGUCUCUGACUGGCUUGUUGAAAACUGUUUCUUUGUCAUAUAUAGAUAAAUACGAUAAAAUGCUGGCAAAAAUCCUUUAGGUUGAUAUGUUUCUGGUUCCAAAAUAUCACCAUUUUCCCCCAGUAUUGAUUUAUCACAAAUGUUUUUCACAAAAUCCCGUUGGAAUCUGAAACUUUCAAGAAGUUCAGCCUCUGCAAGCUAAGUAACCUAAAAUUUCAAUUCAUAAAAUGACAGAAUGUGAAAAUAUGCUUGAACUAUUCAAUUUGAUCUCUCCCAUGUAGAUAAUUUUAAUUUUCGUUGGGCUUUGGCCAGAGGAAAAGUAAUGUUUGAAUAAAUCUCUUUUUUUGCAAAAGAAAUGUGGAUUAACUUCAAUGAACUGCCAGGAGAUUAUAAAUGGUCAUCAGAUGUGCUCAAGUUUGGACCAUCUCGUAGAAAAUAAGACCCAUCUAGCUGACAAAUGCUUCCCCUCUGUUUUUGCAUGUCACUAUAAAUAGUAAACAAAGAUAAGUCUCAUAUUUUCCGCUGUGCACAUUUAGUCCUUGGAUUGGUAUCAGCUUUAUAAAACAGUGAAUCACAUGAGCUACAGGCUCCAUAUGCUUUUAACUUUAUCGAAUAACUUUGAGUAUUGUGGAUCCAUAUCGCUGUUCUAAUUAUUCCUACAAAGAUUAUGCUGUUAUCUAUAGGAAUGUUUCUAAUUAGUCCAAAGAAUAUGUGUCUAUAGAGAUGAUAAUUUUGGAGGCUGUCUCCCUUGCACUAUAUUUCUCUUGGUAAAGAUUAGGAAUCAUUUCCAUUGGGGUUAGCAGUGUAAUAGGCCAUGCAGAGUAGCACCUCUUGUGAUAAAGAGAUCGUAUUGCCACUAUGAUAGUAGGCAUUUUAGGAUAAUGUACUGUGUACGCCUACCCAUAAAAAGUACAGCCCUCUGUGUGUAGUUCUCUAAAUAACUCAUCUAGCCCAGUUCAACACACGGGGAAUGAAUGCUGGAGGAACCAUGCUUAUAAGCAGUCCAGAAGCAGAAAAUACCUGAGCAAAAGAGACUUUUCUGCUCUGUCGUUGGUUUGCUAACCGCAACAGUGACAUCAGGUAGUAAGGACAUAUGCUGACAAUGAUUUUUAUAAUACAUUUAUUAGAAUAAUUCAGAGACUUGUGGAAAGAUAAAACCUUAGAUGCUGGUAUCACUGCAUCUUCUUAAACUGGAGCAGCUACUAUUAAUCACGGAAUUAUUUGUAUUUGAGGACUCUAGAACCAAAGAUAUUCUGUGACAAAAGAGCAGAAUUAUUAGUACCAGAUCUCAGAUUUCAAAUGGCUACCAUACUGCCCAUGUAGCACUAGAUGAGCAGGAGAAACCCCAGCAAAAUAGGAUCACCAGACUUUCAGUUAUUCCAGAGAAUUAGGUUGCAACAUCUUCCUUGAUCAGCAAAGUCAAUACUGGCAUUAUGUAGGCAUGGUACCUGCUCUACUGAGCAAACUCUGAGAGAAACCAUUUUCAGAAUAAGACAUAAGGAUGCAGCAGCAAAUUGAUUGUGAGUCAAAAGCUUUAAAUGCUAAAUAAUUUGCAAGUGUGCUUUGGAAACAGAUCUCCAUUCAGUUGUGCUACACGGGAAGGAGAGGCCAAUUACAAAAGAAAAUACAGAGGCAAUUAUGCCUCAGGAUUUUAAUGUUUGGAAAUUUGACUUAGAUGACUAGAGUCUGAAACACAUUUCCAGUACUAUAUUCUCUGUUCAGUCUUGCACAUAUUUAUUUAGUUCUUAUAUUGAAUCUUCGUGUUACUCCACCUCCACGGGCAGACUGAAAAGAUGGAGAUCACAGUGUAAAAAAAGCAGGGAAAGUAUAACCCCACUGUGCUCAGACUAGUGCCAAUGCCGUUCCCUGAAACUGUUCAGAUUUGUCAGCCCUCCAUCUGCCUGUCCAAGUUGGGACAAUGACGAAUGAGUCUUUAAUUUCCCAUGAGCUCUAAGUCCACUGUUAUUAAAAGAUGGCUAUUAAUUGAGUGUAUGUGCAGUUCACCUAGUGAGUGCUGUUCACAAACUCCCUGAGUGCUACAUCUUGAAUAGUAAUGCCCAAAUGUAUAGUCUUUCUUCCUCAAAGUGUUUUGGGAUUCUCAAGAUGUGUUUUUCCCAGAUAAUCACUUUUCUUAAGCAAAAUUAUUUCAAUUCCAAAUUCAGUUUGACAUUACAAGCUUCUUUUAAGAACUUGUGCUGGGAAGGGACUGAAACCAAACAGCUUUGUGAAUUGCACAGCUGGUUUCUGUUUGCUCAUUACUUUAAAAUAAUUUUCAGUGAAAUGAUAUUAUGCUUCUAUCUGACACUUGAAAAGAAAAACUAAAAGAACAUUGCCAUGUUUGCUAGAUAUUGUGAAUAUCAAUAUUGCUUUCAGCAGUUUUCACUGAUCUAUGCAAAUAAUCAUGUGGUUGUUUAGCUAGUCUGAGUUUACAUUCAGAAUACUGAUCUAUUAGUUAUACACAUAAUUUGGAGAUGCAGUGCUCUGAAAAUUAAUGUAAUUCAGCAGUUUCAGAGAGCUGAUUCAAAUUUUAAAAUGCCUAUUGUUGCCACAGCUCCACAUUCUCACAGCCUUCAAUAUCUGUACAGCUCAGUGCUUUCAGUGUUAAAUAAGGCAAAUACAGGUUGCUUGUCUCUAACAUUGACAGCUGUUAUGAAUGGCUUUCCCUUGCCAUUGUCCAGCAUGAAGAAGUUAAUCUUCCUUCAUAUGGGUCAUUAAACUACUCCACUUCAGCUUCUGUGGAUUUGCAUACAGCUCUUUCAUAACCUAUGGGAAACAUGAUUUCCUUCUUCCCGGGUCCACAUCCUUUAUUUGAACAUGUAGCUGAAAACUUAGUCAUGUUCCUGGACAUUAUAUGCUUGCUGAUGUUAAAUGUUGUGAGCCUUCAGCAAUGCAGCACCAAUCCUUUCUUCAGCUAUGUCCAGAGAUCAUUCAGAUGUCAAGGUUUGACUUUUUAGGAAACAUCUUCCCUUUAGUGUCAGCACCCAACUGACUGCAGGGUAAUCUGUUCUCGUCAGAAGUUUUGUCCAGCUGCAUCUCUCCAAAUGCUCCCAGUCCAACGAUUUAAGCUCUGCCCCUGAUUUUCUGGUAUAAGGCAAAGUUUGGAAAGCAAAAGAUAGGGACAUGGCAUGGGAGAUGGAAAAUUGGGCAAGUAGGUUGCAAUGUAAAAGUACCCUUUAAAUCAGCUGUCAAAAAUCAGCCCUUGAAUUGAAGGAAAGCUUUGCAAUCACAGGUAGACACUGGAAAGUUGUGCAACAAAGCAAAAUUGCUUUGCUUUUUGACAUUGAUAAACUACCAGCUCUGGGGCUGAUUUUGAUGCUAACAGUUCUGAACCAGUAAUGAGAAUAGUGAAAUACAGCACUGUUUAAACUGCAGAGACUUUUAAAACAAAUCUGUCAUCAGACAUCCAAAUGGUCUGUUGUUACUGUUGCACAACUUCCAGAGUACUGACAACCUGCAUUGGGAUAUCUGGAUGAAUUCCAGCACCAGACCAUAGAGCCAGAAACAUGUUACAGUUUCUUAAAAAUGCAAACAAAGAGUCAAACUAUGAUUCUGGAGGAGAACCCCCAAAUUUGUGAGGAUCUAUGGAUGAUGCUCCUGUCUCUCAGCUGUUAAAGUAGUCAAGGGCUAGCACAGUUUGCUCAGGGCAGUUGUGCAGUCUCAUCUCUGAAGUUUUCAAGACCCAACUCAACGAAGCUGUGGACAAUCUCACAGCUGGCCCUGCUUCGGGCUGGAGGUUCAACAAGGGACCACCUAGGCCCUUUCCAACCUGAAUUAUUUUGUGAUUUUUGUGAUUCUCAUUGUAGUUCCAAAUUACCUUUUAAAUGCACUGUACUGUCUGUUGAUAGUAAUUACUAGAAACUGUUAGCUGAACUAGCAGUAUGAAAAUAGAGAUAUAUAGCAGUGUGCAAAUUUCUGCAAACAUAAGGCUUAUUAGGCAGAAAUAAUAGCAAAUAGAGAGGUGACAGUAAAAUUAUGGGAUGCUUGUCCUCUGCCUGUCACCAGCAAUCCUAUCUCAUGAAAAUAUAUGGCCAAUUUCUAAAGUCUUACACAUAGGCCUAAUUUUUUUCCAACAGGCAUUUUCUCUGAUUAAGCUCAGUAAUUACUUUCUUGGCAACUGAAAAUUGUUCCAAGUGCAUAACUGCAAUCCAACAAAAUUAAUAACCACUCUUUUAUUUUACUUCAGACAUGCUAACCAGAGUAGUUUAGAAGGCUGGUCCUAUGCUGCUGCACACAAUUCAGGCUCAUUAGAGAGAAGUGUGACUAUAAAUCACAACUGAAGUACAGCUAGAUUUAGAAAUUCUGCUGGUGUUUCAUUGUUUUAAGCAGUAAUUCUCUAUGGUGUAAGGAAAAUUUAGAAAUCAUUUUUUUGUGCAGUCAAGCAAUGCUAACAUCCUGUGAAGACCAAAAAGUUCAUGGGAAAAAGAGGAAAAAGAGAAAAAAGGGAAGGAAGAACACAGAAUAAUAAGACAAAAAGUUCUAUAAAAGAGAAGAAAUAUGAACCAAAGUCUUCUGAUUCUUAUGCCAUAGAUACCAUGUAGAUGUGAUGGUUACAGCUUGGGAAAAUUUCCCAGAUUCCUGUGGUUUGGUAAAGAGAGUAGUACCUAAUUACCAAACAGACUAGCAAAAUGAGGGCGUUAUGCCACAGACAUUGGGUGAAUUUUUUCCUUGGAAACCAGAAAAGAACAAGAAGUUAAUCACAUUCUCAUGGUUCAUUUUUUUAAUCUGGAGAAUGAUUUUGUCUCAGGCUGCAAGCAAUGCUUGACAAUUACUCAUCUAUGAGAGCAUCCAGAAGAGUUUGUCCAGUUCAUAUUCACUAAGUACUUCAGAAAAUCCAGUGGCUGCAAGAAGAGGAUCCACAGGCAUGGAGGAAAGCAGUUUUUCCUUCUGCAAACCAUUAUAUUGCAGAUGGGGUUUUGUUAAGAUUCCACAUGAAAUUCUUUGUCUGCUAGACUGAUCUUUGAUGACUUUGAAGACAGGACUAUUUAUUUAAAAUAAAUUUAAUUUUUAUUUGCAA